AGUGAACGCUGGCGGCAGGCCUAAUACAUGCAAGUCGAACGGCAGCACGGCAGAGCUUGCUCUGUGGGUGGCGAGUGGCGGACGGGUGAGGAAUACAUGGGAAUCUGCCCAGUCGUGGGGGAUAACGUAGGGAAACUUACGCUAAUACCGCAUGCGCCCUUCGGGGAAGCCGGGGACCUUCGGCCUGGCGCGAUUGGAUGAGCCCAUGUCGGAUUAGCUAGUUGGCGGGGUAAUGGCCCACCAAGGCGACGAUCCGUAGCUGGUCUGAGAGGAUGAUCAGCCACACUGGAACUGAGACACGGUCCAGACUCCUACGGGAGGCAGCAGUAGGGAAUAUUGGACAAUGGGCGCAAGCCUGAUCCAGCCAUGCCGCGUGAGUGAAGAAGGCCCUCGGGUUGUAAAGCUCUUUUGUCCGGAAAGAAAAGCGCCGGGUUAAUACCCUGGUGUCCUGACGGUACCGGAAGAAUAAGCACCGGCUAACUUCGUGCCAGCAGCCGACGG
This 501-nucleotide ribosomal RNA is filed under the name uncultured bacterium. RNAcentral describes it as "bacterial SSU rRNA". It matches the Rfam family "Bacterial small subunit ribosomal RNA", at positions 29 to 520 of the family's 1533-position model. The record is from RNAcentral.